RNAcentral lists this ribosomal RNA (429 nucleotides) under Chloroflexota bacterium. Its description in RNAcentral is "Chloroflexi bacterium partial 16S ribosomal RNA". It matches the Rfam family "Bacterial small subunit ribosomal RNA", at positions 355 to 776 of the family's 1533-position model. Lineage: Bacteria; Bacillati; Chloroflexota. The record is from RNAcentral.
UGGGGAAUAUUGCACAAUGGGCGCAAGCCUGAUGCAGCCAUGCCGCGUGUGUGAAGAAGGCCUUCGGGUUGUAAAGCACUUUCAGCGGGGAGGAAGGCGAUAAGGUUAAUAACCUUGUCGAUUGACGUUACCCGCAGAAGAAGCACCGGCUAACUCCGUGCCAGCAGCCGCGGUAAUACGGAGGGUGCAAGCGUUAAUCGGAAUUACUGGGCGUAAAGCGCACGCAGGCGGUCUGUCAAGUCGGAUGUGAAAUCCCCGGGCUCAACCUGGGAACUGCAUUCGAAACUGGCAGGCUAGAGUCUUGUAGAGGGGGGUAGAAUUCCAGGUGUAGCGGUGAAAUGCGUAGAGAUCUGGAGGAACACCAGUGGCGAAGGCGGCUCUCUGGUCUGUAACUGACGCUCAGGUGCGAAAGCGUGGGGAGCAAACAGG